AUGUUCCCGGAAUUCUGGAGCCCCAACAUUCCUGGAGUUCCAGAUCCUCAACCUCUUGCACUUCUGGAGCCCGGAUGUUCCCAGAUUUUCAAAGCCCCAGCAUUCCCAAUUUUCCAGAACCCUGAUAUUCCCGGAAUUCCGGAGCCCCAAACAUUCCCAGAUUUCCACCGGGACGUGGCUCUGGAACCUGGAAUUCCCCAAUUUCCACCCCCGGCCAUUCCCAGCUCUCCAGACCCCGACAUUCCCAAAUUUCCAGAGGGAUGCAGCUCUAGAGCCCCCAAAUUCCCGGAUUUCCAGAGCCCCAACAUUCCCGAAUUUCCAUUGAGACGCGGCUCCGGAGCCCCGACAUUCCCAGAUUUCCUCACCCCGUUAUUCCCGGAUUCCCACGGCGCCGUUCCCGGCUCUGGGAGCGCCUGGAAUUGUGUCCCUCCCAUUCCCAGAAUUCCGGGAUGGAUUUUCCCAGGGUCCUUUUUAGAUUGGAUUUCCCUAAAUUUGAGUUUGGAAAUUUUUUCCCAAUUUUUCCAGUUGGAUUUUCCCUUUUCCAGGUGGGAUUUUCCCUCUUUUUUUUCCCCCUGGAUCUUCCCAAGUUUUCCCGUUGGAUUCUCCCAGGUUGGGAGUUGGAUUUUCCCCGUUUUUCCCAGUUGGAUUUUCCCAAGUUUUUGGGGAUUUGGAUUUUCCCGAGGUUUUUUCCCGGAUUUCCCCUCCUUUGGGUCAGAUUUUCCCUCCUUUCCCAGCUGGAUUUUUCCCUCUUUUUUUUGGGCUGGAAUUCCCGAGUUUUCCUGUUGGAUUUUCCCUCCUCUGGGUUCAAUUUUCCCUCUUUUUUUUACUGGAAUUUUCCCUCUUUUUCUUGGAAUUCUCCCUUUUCUUUCUUGGAAUUUUCCCCUUUUAUUUAAUUGGAAUUUUCCUUCUUUUUUUCUUGGAAUUUUCCCUAAUUUUUAUUGGAAUUUUCCCUUUUUUCCCGUUGGAAUUUUUUCCCUCUGGAACAUUCCCAAUAAACAGAUCCCUCCCUCUCCCUGGCACUGGUGGAUUUUUCCCUGGGAUUUUCCGGGAUUUUGGGAAUCUGAGGGGGGUGGGAACAUCCUCCAAAAACCCCCGGAAUAUUCCCACCAAAUCCCCUCAGAAAACCUUGGAAUGUUCCCAGAAAACACCAGAAAACCUUGGAAUAUUGUCAGGAAUUUAUGGAAUAUUGUCAUAAAACCUUGGAAUAUUUCCAUAAAAACUGGGAAUCUGGUCAGAAAUCUAUGGGAUAACACAAAACCUGGGAAUAUUUCCAGAAAACCUGGGAAUAUUUUCAUAAAAACU
This 1302-nucleotide long non-coding RNA is filed under the name Parus major (Great Tit). Its description in RNAcentral is "lncRNA (ENSPMJG00000005803.1)". The record is from RNAcentral. Lineage: Eukaryota; Metazoa; Chordata; Aves; Passeriformes; Paridae.